Molecule: ribosomal RNA, 253 nt
Filed under: uncultured bacterium
Lineage: Bacteria
Description: partial 16S ribosomal RNA
Rfam family: Bacterial small subunit ribosomal RNA
Source: RNAcentral
UACGAAGGGGGCUAGCGUUGCUCGGAAUCACUGGGCGUAAAGGGCUCGUAGGUGGCCAACUAAGUCAGACGUGAAAUCCCUCAGCUUAACUGGGGAACUGCGUCUGAUACUGGAUGGCUUGAGUUUGGGAGAGGGAUGCGGAAUUCCAGGUGUAGCGGUGAAAUGCGUAGAUAUCUGGAGGAACACCGGUGGCGAAGGCGGCAUCCUGGACCAACACUGACACUGAGGAGCGAAAGCCAGGGGAGCAAACGGG